This is a long non-coding RNA of Coffea arabica (coffee), 1746 nucleotides long. RefSeq lists it as uncharacterized. Lineage: Eukaryota; Viridiplantae; Streptophyta; Magnoliopsida; Gentianales; Rubiaceae. The record is from RefSeq and is a predicted model, not a curated record.
CGAAACUUUCAUUUUGCCGGCCAAAACACUUGGUCAAAUUUUGCUUCUUCUUAUCUCUCUCACAAGAAACACUAGCAGGGAAAGAAGCCGAAAAAUGGAAGGGCAAUAGCAGGAGGAUUCCACCCAUAACCUCCCCCAUCCAAAUACAUUUUCGACCCCAUGUCAUUUUCCCUCUGUUAUGCCAAAGGCUCGAACCGCUACUAAAAAGUAUUGCAUCAAGUACAGUCCAUCUGUUGCUCGACAAGUUUAUGCUUUCUCUGAGUUUCCAAGUGUAAAGAGAGUUUGGAGUAUUGGUCAUUUGAGAUGGUUGUUCUAUUAUCUGGUCUUUUGCCCAAUCCAAAACUAGAAACAUCAGUCCUAUCUAUCAGCCUCAAUACAUGUUGGAUGGUCUAUAUGACCUCUGUCGGUCUUGGUGUUGCCAUAAGGUUAGUAAACCCAAUCAAAGUUCUUAUGAUGCUUUUAAUCUUUAACAAUGACAAAAGAAAAAAAAAGUUUUAACAAUGACAUUAAUUAACGGAUACCUCAAGGAUCGAACUAUUUUUCUUGAUUACUGUUAUCCAUGCAUUUAGCUGGUCGAAAAUGAUUUUACCCUAUAAUCAUUUUAGUACGAGAGUUUCAAAUGAAUUGGGCGCUGGAAAUCCACAAGGUGCGCGCUUAGCGUUGGGUGUGGUAGUCAUAAUGGCCUUUACAGAGGGUGCAAUUGUUGGGACAACAACCAUUCUGGUUCGGCAUAUAUGGGGAAAGCUCUAUAGCAAUGAAGAAGAGGUGGUUAGAUAUGUGGCUAAGAUGUGGAAAUAGUCAUUACUCAUUAGUCCCAAAACACGGCCACCACCCCUGGACCAAUUUGGCCCCCAAUCUAAUUAAAGAAUGACUUGGCUUUUUAUUAAAAAAACACUAAGAGUCAACCUCAACUACUUCCAUUGCUUGUCAUCCAUUAGUUGGCUCUGUUCUUUCUUUCUUUCUUUCUAGAUUGGUUCGAAAUUUCGCGUGCCUAAAUUCGCGAAGGAGAGAGGGGGGGAUGUGAUUUUCCAGUUUGUGAGGCUACGACACGACUUCUUGGAUGUACGACCUGGUGCAAUAGUCCCUAUAAAUACUGGUGGAGCAAGUGUCCACCUCCACAAACUUUGAGGCUCUCUUCACAUAAAUCUAGUGACACAAGCAAGAGAGAGUACCAAAUUGGAUUUGGAAGUGAAUUCAAAUAGGGACGAUAUGAAGUUCAAGAACACAGCAAAGGGCAGGCAAGUUUAAUAUCAUACUGCUCGUUGUUGCAGUUCUAGCUGCUCGUUUUUGCACUAUCUUGAUCUGCCUAAGGCAAUAAUCUCCUGGUGACUAGUUGGAGCUUCUGUCCUUCUUUUGUUGAGUUGUGCCUUGUCGAGUAUGAAAUGCUUAGGUUCCCCCCAUCUCUCUUAGCAGCAGCAGCAAUCUUUACUGCACAAUGCUCUGUCAGUGGGUUCAAGAAGUGGACUAAGACAUGCGAGAGGCACACAAACUACACUGAAGAUUAACUUUUGAAAGAUUUGUUUUGCCUAUGGACUGGAAGCUUGGAAAGUUUGGAAGCUACUGCAAGUUCUUUCUACUUUUUAGGGAAGAGAAUCUUUUAGUUUGCGCACAAGAAAAUUUUUCAAGUUUGUACUUGUUACGGAUUUGCAAUGUUAGUAUUUGUUACUGACUUUUAGUUCAACAAAUUAUAUUUGAGCAUUGACUUUUGCUUUUAGAUUACUAUAUGCAUUCUGUUCUUUGGGAUAA